UGGGGAAUAUUGCACAAUGGGCGCAAGCCUGAUGCAGCCAUGCCGCGUGUGUGAAGAAGGCCUUCGGGUUGUAAAGCACUUUCAGCGAGGAGGAAGGUGGUGAGCUUAAUACGCUCAUCAAUUGACGUUACUCGCAGAAGAAGCACCGGCUAACUCCGUGCCAGCAGCCGCGGUAAUACGGAGGGUGCAAGCGUUAAUCGGAAUUACUGGGCGUAAAGCGCACGCAGGCGGUUUGUUAAGUCAGAUGUGAAAUCCCCGGGCUCAACCUGGGAACUGCAUUUGAAACUGGCAAGCUAGAGUCUCGUAGAGGGGGGUAGAAUUCCAGGUGUAGCGGUGAAAUGCGUAGAGAUCUGGAGGAAUACCGGUGGCGAAGGCGGCCCCCUGGACGAAGACUGACGCUCAGGUGCGAAAGCGUGGGGCAGCAAACAGGAUUAGAUACCCUGGUAGUCCAGCGCUGUAAAACGAUGUCGAUUUUGGAGGUUGUGCCCUUGAGGCGUGGCUUCCGGAGCUAACGCGUUAAAGUCGACCGCCUGGGGAGUACGGCGCAAGGUUAAAACUCAAAUGAAUUGAC
This 571-nucleotide ribosomal RNA is filed under the name uncultured bacterium. RNAcentral's name for it is "partial 16S ribosomal RNA". It matches the Rfam family "Bacterial small subunit ribosomal RNA", at positions 355 to 914 of the family's 1533-position model. The record is from RNAcentral.